This 368-nucleotide transfer RNA is filed under the name uncultured Microcystis sp. RNAcentral's name for it is "partial 16S-23S ribosomal RNA intergenic spacer". The stretch from base 134 to 207 matches the Rfam family "tRNA". The record is from RNAcentral. Lineage: Bacteria; Bacillati; Cyanobacteriota; Cyanophyceae; Chroococcales; Microcystaceae.
AAAGGGAGACCUAAUUCGGGUAUGGGAUGAAAAAAAAGUAGUCCCUACCAAGAAUCAAUCCCAAAAGGUCGGAGCGAGGCAUAAGGCUUUCAAACUAGGUUCUGGGUUCACACAAGACCUGAAUCAGGAACAAGGGCUAUUAGCUCAGGUGGUUAGAGCGCACCCCUGAUAAGGGUGAGGUCCCUGGUUCGAGUCCAGGAUGGCCCACCUGCACAGGUGGCAAAAACAAGAGAAGCGAGGAAUCAGCACCUUAUCUUAUCUAUAUAUAAAUAUAAGUAAGAGAGAAUGCUGGCUCUGAGUAAAGAGUCCAGAGGAACCUUGAAAACUGCAUAGAGCUAGGUGAAAAAGCCAAAAAAGAAGACCGCAAG